AUGCUUACUUCGGCACUACAUUUACUAAAAUUGGGAAGAUACAGAGAAGAUUAGCAUGGCCUCUACACAAGGAUGACACACAAAUCCAUGAAGUGUUGCAUAGGAAA
Small nuclear RNA from Microtus ochrogaster (prairie vole), 107 nucleotides. NCBI's taxonomy places the organism in Eukaryota, Metazoa, Chordata, Mammalia, Rodentia, Cricetidae. The record is from Ensembl.